This is a long non-coding RNA of Oncorhynchus tshawytscha (Chinook salmon), 455 nucleotides long. The record is from Ensembl. NCBI's taxonomy places the organism in Eukaryota, Metazoa, Chordata, Actinopteri, Salmoniformes, Salmonidae.
AGGGAUGUUCUCUGUUUAGUGAGUCCACCAGAUCAGAGGCAGUAGGGGUGACCAGGGAUGUUCUCUGUUUAGUGAGUCCACCAGAUCAGAGGCAGUAGGGGUGACCAGGGAUGUUCUCUGUUUAGUGAGUCCACCAGAUCAGAGGCAGUAGGGAUAACCAGGGAUGUUCUCUGUUUAGUGAGUCCACCAGAUCAGAGGCAGUAGGGGUGACCAGGGAUGUUCUCUGUUUAGUCAGUCUACCAGAUCAGAGGCAGUAGGGAUAACCAGGGAUGUUCUCUGUUUAGUGAGUCCACCAGAUCAGAGGCAGUAGGGAUGACCAGGGAUGUUCUCUGUUUAGUGAGUCCACCAGAUCAGAGGCAGUAGGGAUGACCAGGGAUGUUCUCUGUUUAGUGAGUCCACCAGAUCAGAGGCAGUAGGGGUGACCAGGGAUGUUCUCUGUUUAGUCAGUCUACCAG